Molecule: ribosomal RNA, 633 nt
Filed under: uncultured bacterium
Lineage: Bacteria
Description: bacterial SSU rRNA
Rfam family: Bacterial small subunit ribosomal RNA
Source: RNAcentral
AGUCGAGCGGCAGCGCGGGGGCAACCCUGGCGGCGAGCGGCGGACGGGUGAGUAAUGCAUCGGAACGUAUCCCAUAGUGGGGGACAACCCAGCGAAAGCUGGGCUAAUACCGCAUAUGCUCUGAGGAGGAAAGUGGGGGACUUCGCAAGGGGCCUCACGCUGGGGGAGCGGCCGAUGUCCGAUUAGCUAGUUGGUGGGGUAAUGGCUCACCAAGGCGACGAUCGGUAGCUGGUCUGAGAGGAUGAUCAGCCACACUGGGACUGAGACACGGCCCAGACUCCUACGGGAGGCAGCAGUGGGGAAUUUUGGACAAUGGGGGCAACCCUGAUCCAGCCAUGCCGCGUGCGGGAAGAAGGCCUUCGGGUUGUAAACCGCUUUUGGUCGGGACGAAAGGGCCUCUCUUAAUAGGGGGGGUUGUUGACGGUACCGGCAGAAUAAGCACCGGCUAACUACGUGCCAGCAGCCGCGGUAAUACGUAGGGUGCGAGCGUUAAUCGGAAUUACUGGGCGUAAAGCGUGCGCAGGCGGUGGGUUAAGUCUGCUGUGAAAGCCCCGGGCUCAACCUGGGAAUGGCAGUGGAAACUGGCUCGCUGGAGUGUGGCAGAGGGGGGUGGAAUUCCGCGUGUAGCAGUGA